AGCGAACGCUGGCGGCAGGCUUAACACAUGCAAGUCGAACGGAUCCUUCGGGAUUAGUGGCGGACGGGUGAGUAACACGUGGGAACGUGCCCUUAGGUUCGGAACAACACAGGGAAACUUGUGCUAAUACCGGAUGUGCCUCGUAAGAGGGAAAGAUUUAUCGCCUUUGGAGCGGCCCGCGUCUGAUUAGCUUGUUGGUGAGGUAAAGGCUCACCAAGGCUACGAUCAGUAGCUGGUCNGAGAGGAUGGCCAGCCACAUUGGGACUGAGACACGGCCCAAACUCCUACGGGAGGCAGCAGUGGGGAAUCUUGCGCAAUGGGGGAAACCCUGACGCAGCCAUGCCGCGUGGAUGAUGAAGGUCUUAGGAUUGUAAAAUCCUUUCAGCGGGACGAUAAUGACGGUACCCGCAGAAGAAGCCCCGGCUAACUUCGUGCCAGCA
Molecule: ribosomal RNA, 440 nt
Filed under: uncultured bacterium
Lineage: Bacteria
Description: bacterial SSU rRNA
Rfam family: Bacterial small subunit ribosomal RNA
Source: RNAcentral